UACGUAGGGGGGCUAGCGUUGUCCGGAAUCAUUGGGCGUAAAGCGCGUGUAGGCGGUUCGGUAAGUCCGCUGUGAAAGUCGGGGGCUCAACCCUCGAAUGCCGGUGGAUACUGUCGGACUAGAGUACGGAAGAGGCGAGUGGAAUUCCUGGUGUAGCGGUGAAAUGCGCAGAUAUUCAGGAGGAACACCAAUUGCGAAGGCAGCUCGCUGGGACGUUACUGACGCUGAGACGCGAAAGCGUGGGGAGCAAACAGG
Molecule: ribosomal RNA, 255 nt
Filed under: uncultured bacterium
Lineage: Bacteria
Description: partial 16S ribosomal RNA
Rfam family: Bacterial small subunit ribosomal RNA
Source: RNAcentral